Molecule: transfer RNA, 71 nt
Filed under: Diaphorina citri (Asian citrus psyllid)
Lineage: Eukaryota; Metazoa; Arthropoda; Insecta; Hemiptera; Psyllidae
Rfam family: tRNA
About the family: Transfer RNA (tRNA) molecules are approximately 80 nucleotides in length. Their secondary structure includes four short double-helical elements and three loops (D, anti-codon, and T loops).
Source: Rfam by way of RNAcentral
GCCUAGGUAGCUUGGUUGGUAGCGCCUGUCUUGUAAGCACUAGACCGCGGGUUUGAUUCCCGCCCGGGGUG